RNA transcript from Panicum virgatum (switchgrass), 1599 nucleotides. It is a transcript of the gene named PGR5-like protein 1B, chloroplastic, with no coding region annotated. The transcript is spliced from 7 exons. Lineage: Eukaryota; Viridiplantae; Streptophyta; Magnoliopsida; Poales; Poaceae. The record is from RefSeq and is a predicted model, not a curated record.
CCAUCCACCACCACCUGCAGCAGCGGCACAAAAGAUCUGGCCCGUGCGAUGCCGUCGCCUCGUUGAGCGGAGCCACACGUUGGCAAGCCCCCGGCCCGGCCCUUCGCCGUCGCGGCGCGCCGCCGGACUGUGUCCUCCACGCAACCGCCGCUCGCUCCGAUUCCCUGCCCGGAGCACGUCGGCCAGGUGAUGCCUGAUUUGGUUGCCUUCCUGUUGCCCUCGCGCCGCGCUCCGUUCCCACGCAACGCAUUCCCCCCGUCCCCCCCCCCCCCCCCCACCCCAAGCAGGGGAGAGGUAUCCGCGACGGGAGCGAGCGCUGCCGCUGCCGUUGGGCUCGAAUCUAUGGCCGCCGCCGCCGCCCGUGUGGCGCACGGGAGCGGCCGCCUCAGCCGCCCGCGCCCGCCGCGGGUGGGGCUGCGCGGCGCGUGGGCGGUGGCCGCGGCCGCGGCGGAGGGGCCGUCCUGCCUCUACGUGGGGCCGAUCGAAACCGCCAGCCAGGAGAAGCUGGAGGCGCUCUACCGCCAGGCCAGGGAUUCCUACUACAGCGGUCGGCCAUUGAUCGUCGAUGACAUGUUUGACAAAGUUGAGUUGAAGCUCCGGCUGUAUGGCUCCAAAUCUGUUGUGAAAUACCCCCGUUGCAGCCUCAUAAGCCAGUCAACUUAUGCCGACGCUGAGGAGGACCAAUCAAUGUUUAUGGCAUUAUCAAGCAUCUGGAUGCUGCUGCUCCUGUUUGGCACCUCGGCCUUCCUGGUUCCAAGUCUCUACACCCUGAGCCUUGCAUUCGGAGACGCAUUCGGAGCAAGGUACCUCUUGUACGGUACAAAGUCCCUUGACGCUAUAACAAGAGUCAAUGACCUGGCUUUAGUUGGACUGGGCUACCUGGUUGGCUACCCCAUUGCAUCUGCUUCUGUUGGUGCACUGCGAGGCUUAUUGUCAAAUAAUUUGGUUGCACUGAAAGGCUCCUGCCCAAAUUGUGGUAUUUGCAUUUGUUAAGACUGAUAGAUCCAUUCGAGCACCUCAUAGAGCAGAAUGUCAUGUUUGUGAAUGCCCAUUGGAGUAUCGCACUAAAAUCGAGAAAUCAUUAUCAGGGCCUAGAGGAAGCUGGGUCUACGGCCGAGUUUAUCUAGUGAAGCAAGGGCAUCCUAGGAAACGGAAAUGGAUAAAAGACUAGAGUUCCAAUGGCAGCUGCUGAAGAAAGUUAAGAUAUCUUUGCGAGAUGGGCAGAUGGCACUCUUGAUUGACUGAAUCAUUUUUCAGAUACCACUCUUAUUGUUCAGGGAGGCUUAUUGUAUACGAAUUCAUUGAAAGAUUGAUCAAGCCAUUAUUUUGUAAAAACAAAUAGUACAUUCCUUUCUGAGAUUUCCAAACACUGCAGAUGAACCCAUGUUGCAUUGUACUCGUCUUUUUCUGUUUUAGAUAAACCAAUGAUACAAUGAUAAAGGAUCACUCCAGAAGCUACAAAGGCAUCCAUGCUAUCAGGAGGGAGGAUCAAAAGGCUGAAACUCUGCAGCAAAUGUGUUUAAUCAUUUCAUCAAAGAUGUGUGUGAAUUAAUUUAUUCUGGAUACUCAACAUCUAUAAAGAAGUUACAAACUUGUUCA